UACAGAGGGUGCCAGCGUUGUUCGGAAUUAUUGGGCGUAAAGGGCGCGUAGGCGGCCAUGCGUGUCUUCCGUGAAAUCCCUCGGCUUAACCGAGGACGUGCGGAAGAAACUGCAAGGCUCGAGUCCGGAAGAGGGGGGCGGAAUUCCCAGUGUAGCGGUGAAAUGCGUAGAUAUUGGGAGGAACACCAGUGGCGAAGGCGGUCCCCUGGGCCGGAACUGACGCUGAGGCGCGAAAGCGUGGGUAGCAAACGGG
RNAcentral lists this ribosomal RNA (253 nucleotides) under uncultured bacterium. Its description in RNAcentral is "partial 16S ribosomal RNA". It matches the Rfam family "Bacterial small subunit ribosomal RNA", at positions 524 to 776 of the family's 1533-position model. The record is from RNAcentral.